RNAcentral lists this long non-coding RNA (751 nucleotides) under Phoenix dactylifera (date palm). RNAcentral describes it as "long non-coding RNA (PDAC_LNC011697)". Lineage: Eukaryota; Viridiplantae; Streptophyta; Magnoliopsida; Arecales; Arecaceae. The record is from RNAcentral.
AAAGUCCGCAUAGUGUGAAUAUGACUUAAGUCCUAUUCAUCCUACGACGACAUGUGAUCUUUAAAAUCUGCAUAAUCCUUGGUUUAAUUAAAUUGGCCCAAUCAUGAACCCAAAUCAAUUUGGGUCGAACCCAAUUUGAUUUGGCUCAUUAAAUCAGUCCAAUUGCAAUCCAAUUGCAAUCAAUUCUACUUAAUUCUUCUUCUAUUAACUCACUAACACUUAGUGGGUUAAUUUAAUCACCAAUCAUAUUGAUAAUUGAUUUCUAUUAUGAUUCCAAAUCAUAAUUAUGAUAGUCUGACUAAUUAAAUCCUCUAUGUGUGUGACCCCGUAGGUUCUAUUCUGACUGGUUGUAAAAAAUAUUGAGAUCUCCAUCUCAAUAUCACUGAAACUCCUUUCAGUGGACUGAAACGAUUUCAGUUCUACUCUUAGGGUUCACUGAUCACCAAGUGAAUGUCUUCGAAUCUCACAAUCCACUAGUGACACCUAGCAGUAUGUGGUGGCAACCCAGCAGAAUGGAAUAUCUGAAUCUCUUGGUGCAGUUAGCGUAUGAUACAAUCCUCUAUCAUGGAUUCCGACGUGACGGAGGUUAUGGAUAUCUCGUCAAACCCCAUCGUCUGUCAUAUGUCAAAUUUAUACGACUUCCAGUUCCAGAUAUGGAAAACUCGUUUUCCAAAAUAUCUGGCCAGAAAUUUAUCGAACUCAGUCUCAUAAAUCACAUAGGAUCACUCCUAAUCUAUCAAGGUCGAUAGAN